RNAcentral lists this ribosomal RNA (433 nucleotides) under uncultured bacterium. RNAcentral describes it as "partial 16S ribosomal RNA". It matches the Rfam family "Bacterial small subunit ribosomal RNA", at positions 29 to 507 of the family's 1533-position model. The record is from RNAcentral.
AACGAACGCUGGCGGCAGGCUUAACACAUGCAAGUCGAGCGGGCCCUUCGGGGUCAGCGCCCGACGGGUGAGUAACACGUGGGAACGUACCUUUUGGUUCGGAACAACUCCGGGCAACUGGAGCUAAUACCGGAUAAGCCCUUAGGGGGAAAGAUUUAUCGACAAAAGAUCGGCCCGCGUCUGAUUAGCUAGUUGGUGGGGUAACGGCCCACCAAGGCGACGAUCAGUAGCUGGUCUGAGAGGAUGAUCAGCCACACUGGGACUGAGACACGGCCCAGACUCCUACGGGAGGCAGCAGUGGGGAAUAUUGGACAAUGGGCGCAAGCCUGAUCCAGCCAUGCCGCGUGAGUGAUGAAGGCCUUAGGGUUGUAAAGCUCUUUUGUCCGGGAAGAUAAUGACUGUACCGGAAGAAUAAGCCCCGGCUAACUUCGUG